This is an RNA transcript of Brachypodium distachyon (stiff brome), 1003 nucleotides long. RefSeq lists it as uncharacterized. The record is from RefSeq and is a predicted model, not a curated record. The transcript has 2 exons. Lineage: Eukaryota; Viridiplantae; Streptophyta; Magnoliopsida; Poales; Poaceae.
GUUGUGGUGAAGGUAAGUAAACAAUUCUAGAAGUUAUACGGAGUUUUUCCUAAAGUGACUUAACCGAAUUUAUUUAGUUUCUUAUAUUUGGAUAUACUACUAGAAUGGAAAAUGAAAGUGGAAAAACAAAAGGGAAUCGACGCGAGCGAGCGGAGGGUUUUCCCCGGGUUGGACAUUGAAUCCUUCUCCGGGUUUUAGCUCUCUCCUCCGGAGAAGGGGAUCCGAGGCUGUUCGUCCAUCGGUCCAUUCGAGAUACAGCGAAGCUCCCGUCUUGCCGCCGCCCGCCAUUCCCAGUCCACGACUGCCGCCGUCACCGUCCUGUCCUGUUCUUCUCUCCCGACCGUUCUGAAGGCGCCGCCUUUCUUGAUUCCAUCUCAAGAAAACAACAGUCCACCUUGCAGGUUAAUUGCUGUUUGCUCCAUUAUUUUGAGAUAAAAAGGGAGGGCCUUAAUUAAUGUUCUGUGUGAAGCUAAACAGCUGAAUUUUGAAAAUAUACGGUGAAAAAUGUUCAAAAGUUCCUGGGUAUAUUGAGUAUCCGCACAUGUUUCAGAAAUCCGAUUAUUUUUUUGAUUGGUCCUGUAAAUGUCACAAAGCAGACCUCAAAAUUUCAGAGCAUGUAUGCUAUAGCUAAAUAUUUUGGUUAUAUUGAUUUUUACAACUUGCCAAAGACUAAAUAGGUCACUCCUCACUCACUAAAAUAUGUGAUUUUCAUGUGAUCAGUAAAAUGUUUCCUAUUAUGUCAGUUAAACAGUUUAGUGUUACCUUGCAGACGCAUAUAUGUUUUCUCUUCUUUUUUGUGUUGUGUGUGGCCCUUCUCUCUUGAUUGUUACAGCAAUAUAUAAACUUAGGUGUUAGUUAAUGUUGUUGCUUAAUGGUCCUUGGUAGUUUGCUCAGCUUUGUAGAUAAAUAAAUAGGGUGUCAUCUUAAUUAACAUUCUCUGUGAAGAUGAGCACAUGAAUUUUGAGUUUCAACGGAUGAAGAAAAGAAGUUCAAAAUUUCAUUA